UGAGGGAUAUUGGGCAAUGGGGGCAACCCUGACCCAGCGACGCCGCGUGGGUGAAGAAGGUCUUCGGAUCGUAAAGCCCUUUUCGGUGGGAAGAGGAAGGACGGUACCACCGGAAGAAGUCUCGGCUAACUACGUGCCAGCAGCCGCGGUAAAACGUAGGAGACAAGCGUUAUCCGGAGUUACUGGGCGUAAAGGGCGUGCAGGCGGAGGACUAAGUUUGGUGUGAAAGCGCCUGGCUCAACCGGGCGAGGCCACCGGCGACUGGUUCUCUAGAGGACGGCAGAGGGGUGUGGAAUUCCGGGUGUAGUGGUGAAAUGCGUAGAGAUCCGGAGGAACACCAGAGGCGAAGGCGACACUCUAGGCCGUACCUGACGCUGAGACGCGACAGCACGGGGGAGCGAACGGGGAUUAGAAACCCCGGUAGUCCGUGCCGUAAACGAUGCCAGCUAGACG
RNAcentral lists this ribosomal RNA (453 nucleotides) under uncultured bacterium. RNAcentral's name for it is "bacterial SSU rRNA". It matches the Rfam family "Bacterial small subunit ribosomal RNA", at positions 355 to 822 of the family's 1533-position model. The record is from RNAcentral.